Molecule: non-coding RNA, 131 nt
Filed under: Anaerosphaera sp.
Lineage: Bacteria; Bacillati; Bacillota; Tissierellia; Tissierellales; Peptoniphilaceae
Source: RNAcentral
UAAAUUUAAUCUCUGUAGUAUAAUUACCUUAGAUAGAAUAUAACAAGGAAGUGGGUUAGAGUCCUACACAGUGCCGCUACGGUAUUUGCGAUUAGCAUAAGUCCGAUACUUGUACUUUAGUUUUGCUCCGG